GAUGAACGCUGGCGGCGUGCCUAAUACAUGCCAGUCGAGCGAACAGAUGAGGAUCUUGCUCCUCUGACGUUAGCGGCUGACGGGUGAGUAACACGUGUAUAACCUACCUAUAAUACUGGGAUAACUUCGGGAAACCGGAGCUAAUACCGGAUAAUAUAUUGAACCGCAUUGUUCAAUAGUUAAAUACGGUUUUUCUUUCACUUAUAGAUGUAUCCGCGCCGCAUUAUCUAGUUGGUAAGGUAACGGCUUACCAAGGCAACGAUGCGUAGACGACCUGAGAGGGUGAUCGGACACAAGGGAACUGAGACACGGUACAGACUACUACGGGAGGCAGCAGUAGGGAAUAGUCCGCAAUGGGCGAAAGCAUGACGGAGCAACGCCGAGUGAGUGAUGAAGGUAUUAGGAUCGUAAAACUCUGUUAUUAGGGAAGAAAAAAUGUGUAAGUAAAUAUGCACGUAUUGACGGUACCUAAUAAGAAAGCAACGGCUAACUACGUG
Molecule: ribosomal RNA, 497 nt
Filed under: uncultured bacterium
Lineage: Bacteria
Description: partial 16S ribosomal RNA
Rfam family: Bacterial small subunit ribosomal RNA
Source: RNAcentral